This 698-nucleotide long non-coding RNA is filed under the name Medicago truncatula (barrel medic). RNAcentral's name for it is "long non-coding RNA (MTRU_LNC008488)". The record is from RNAcentral. Lineage: Eukaryota; Viridiplantae; Streptophyta; Magnoliopsida; Fabales; Fabaceae.
AAGAUUUGGUGUAAGUCGACUGGUGUCAACAGAUCAAUUGUAAGUCGAAUGAUGUGAAUUGAAUUAUGAUUCUGCCGAACCUGGUAUCUUUGGAUUGAUGGAGUUGAAUGACCUUUUAGUAGGACACUUUCAUUGGCUAUUCCCUUCUUCUCUGUCGCCCAUGACCUUCUUCUCCAGGUGAAUGGGGGUGGUGACUUGUACAUGCUACGACGCUCAAAUCAGUGAAUGAUGUAGGAUGAUAGGUGUAUCUGACCCCGAGCGUAUGAGCCAUUAUUUAUAGUGGAGGUUUGGGUUUUUGCGCUUGCACCGUUACCUAGACACCUAUUGUGGAAGGACAAUCAUGGUCCUUUUAGGGAUAGUUGUAGUCUUUUGAAGGAUAGUUGUGAUUGUUUGCUCCUUGGAUUAUUUGUGCCAUGGACCAUGUUGGUUGUUCACCUUUGGUCUGUGUGCUUCUCUGCCACACACCAUGUUGGUUAUUCACAUUUGGUCCACGCACUCCCAUGCUAAGGACCAUGUCGGUUGUUCAUCUUUAGUUUGUGUACUUCUACGAGGAGUGCUUUGGAUUUUAAUAGUGGUCGGGCGUCAUCCCAUAUCAAAAUUAUUUUCCCCAAGCUAUUAGUUGAGGGACUCAAGUGAUAGCUUGUAUAUGAAGUUGAAUGGAAAACCUUUUGUAGUUGGGGUCCGUUUACGCAUUGUUC